ACACAUGCAAGUCGAGCGGAAACGACACUAACAAUCCUUCGGGUGCGUUAAUGGGCGUCGAGCGGCGGACGGGUGAGUAAUGCCUAGGAAAUUGCCUUGAUGUGGGGGAUAACCAUUGGAAACGAUGGCUAAUACCGCAUAAUGCCUACGGGCCAAAGAGGGGGACCUUCGGGCCUCUCGCGUCAAGAUAUGCCUAGGUGGGAUUAGCUAGUUGGUGAGGUAAUGGCUCACCAAGGCGACGAUCCCUAGCUGGUCUGAGAGGAUGAUCAGCCACACUGGAACUGAGACACGGUCCAGACUCCUACGGGAGGCAGCAGUGGGGAAUAUUGCACAAUGGGCGAAAGCCUGAUGCAGCCAUGCCGCGUGUAUGAAGAAGGCCUUCGGGUUGUAAAGUACUUUCAGUUGUGAGGAAGGGGGUAGCGUUAAUAGCGCUAUCUCUUGACGUUAGCAACAGAAGAAGCACCGGCUAACUCCGUGCCAGCAGCCGCGGUAAUACGGAGGGUGCGAGCGUUAAUCGGAAUUACUGGGCGUAAAGCGCAUGCAGGUGGUUCAUUAAGUCAGAUGUGAAAGCCCGGGGCUCAACCUCGGAACUGCAUUUGAAACUGGUGAACUAGAGUACUGUAGAGGGGGGUAGAAUUUCAGGUGUAGCGGUGAAAUGCGUAGAGAUCUGAAGGAAUACCAGUGGCGAAGGCGGCCCCCUGGACAGAUACUGACACUCAGAUGCGAAAGCGUGGGGAGCAAACAGGAUUA
Molecule: ribosomal RNA, 750 nt
Filed under: Vibrio sp. FOH-45
Lineage: Bacteria; Pseudomonadati; Pseudomonadota; Gammaproteobacteria; Vibrionales; Vibrionaceae
Description: bacterial SSU rRNA
Rfam family: Bacterial small subunit ribosomal RNA
Source: RNAcentral